CCUAAACGUGUCACAAUCC
RNAcentral lists this small nuclear RNA (19 nucleotides) under Arabidopsis thaliana (thale cress). RNAcentral describes it as "snRNA_14912". Lineage: Eukaryota; Viridiplantae; Streptophyta; Magnoliopsida; Brassicales; Brassicaceae. The record is from RNAcentral.